AACCUUCUAUUUUCGUCACUCUCUUAUCUUCUCACUCUUUUCCCAUCAAACCCUAAUAUCGCCGCCACCACCUUUUUCCCUCGUCUCUGUUUCUCCUUCCCCUGCUACUCCUUUCUCCGUUUAUAACUUCAAUCACAUCUUUCUCCGUUUCAGUUUGAUAUAUUUUCUGAAAAAAUGUUUGAUGAAUAAUUAUAGUUUGUCUCUUCUUUCAGAACACAACUUACCAAGGCAUAUAGACUGCUAAUGUUCUUUUUGAAGUUUUAAAGGCUGUUAAGAUGACCCAAUCUAUGGAAGUUGAUCGAGAGACUUUGGAGACACGAGAUAAAAUUGGUGAAAAGACGGAGAUCAUAGUCCCUUUCAAUGUUCUUCCACUCGAUCCUGAUAGUGCAAAUCAAGUGAUAAUGAGAUUUCCCGAGAUCCAAGCUGCUGUAUUUGCUCUUCAUAACACUAGGGGUAUCUAUACACAUGGAUGACAACUCCAAUCCUAUAGAAGAUUUUAAACAUCUUCAAAUGUAUCUGAGAGGAAAGUUAAGGUUAUCUUGCUUCAAUACUACAUAUAGCCUUAUUCAAGUUGAAUCAUGCAGGAAAAGUAAAGAGCCCCGCAGAAGUAGAGAAGUAAUAGGUGUAUUUACUCUGAAUGAUGUUCUUAGCAAAAUUGCUUAAUGUGAAUGUUUUCUUGCUUUCUUGUGUAAGCUUUUGUCUAUGGUUUUUCAAAGACAUUUUAUGUUUAAUAACUACUAUUUGAAGAAAAUCAAAUGAGAAAAAUUGCUAUAAGCAAAGCAGGAAAUUAUCAUUUGUUA
Long non-coding RNA from Vicia villosa (hairy vetch), 800 nucleotides. RefSeq lists it as uncharacterized. The record is from RefSeq and is a predicted model, not a curated record. NCBI's taxonomy places the organism in Eukaryota, Viridiplantae, Streptophyta, Magnoliopsida, Fabales, Fabaceae. The transcript has 6 exons.